RNAcentral lists this unclassified non-coding RNA (1080 nucleotides) under Hevea brasiliensis (rubber tree). The record is from RNAcentral. Lineage: Eukaryota; Viridiplantae; Streptophyta; Magnoliopsida; Malpighiales; Euphorbiaceae.
ACUUCAACUUCACCUAUUAUAUGUUGCUACAAAAACUGAAUGUUUCUUGCUACUGUUAUAGACACUACACAAGUGUACAUCCUAUUACAGGCUUGUAUGUGACUAAAUUCUAUACAAGACAGAUAUCAGAUUGCAUCUCUCACCUUUCUCUUGAGAAUUAUAUGCAUUGAAUUAUCUGCUAAUAACACCCCCUCGUAAUAAACUUUCAUCUGAUGCUUAAACACUGGCUGAAACUUCAGUUGCUGGUUUUUCCUUUUUCUUCGGUUGCUCUGGAGCUUUCUGUACAAUAGCCUUAUUCGGUACCAAAACUAUGAAGACGUUCCUAUCCCUGAAAUUCUUGUUCUCCUCAGUUGCAAGCUCACCGACAUCAUUCUGAAAACGCCUAAGUAGCUCAAUAGCAUUAUUUCUGAACUCAUUUUCACGGCCUUUUAAGUUCACUAUGAUUUUUACCUUGUCACCAUCUUUCAAGAACUUCUGAGCAGCUUUCAAACGCACUGAAUAAUCGUGAGAAUCAAUAUUAUAACCCAUUUUGAGCUCCUUCAAAUCCAUGCGGCUGGCAGCAUUUUUCUUUUGCUGCUCCUUUUUCUUCUUUUGCAGCUCAUACUUAUACUUAUUGUAAUCCAUAAUUUUGACGACCGGCGGGUCUGCUUCUGGCGAUAGAAUCACCAAGUCAAGGCUUGCAUCCUCAGCUCUCUGAAGGGCUUCCAUUUUCGACACUAUCCCCAACAUGUUCUGCUUAUCAUCAAUGAGCCUAACCUUGUCUGACCUGAUAGAUGAAAUAUCAAGUGCUUCAUCUUCCUCGGAACGUGGGGGCGGCCGGAAUCCUCCUCUACCACCUCCGCCACCGUAUCUAGCGGAGAUAGUGGCUGAAUGGUAGAUAAGUGAAGAGCAAGAACGAAGCUGAGGAUUAUGAAAUCGAAGCCCAAAAAUGGAAGAAUUAAGGUAAUGGAGGAAAAGGGGUUUGUUGGUUAUGGGUUUAGAGGAAAUGGGUGUCAAGGUGAAGGAAGUACUGGUGGUGAGACCCGCCAUGGACGAUGGGGGUGGGUGGUGUUUACAGAGAAGGAGCUAACACAGAGUGUA